This 876-nucleotide ribosomal RNA is filed under the name Dysteria derouxi. RNAcentral describes it as "partial small subunit ribosomal RNA". It matches the Rfam family "Bacterial small subunit ribosomal RNA", at positions 524 to 1485 of the family's 1533-position model. Lineage: Eukaryota; Ciliophora; Phyllopharyngea; Dysteriida; Dysteriidae. The record is from RNAcentral.
UACAUGAGUGGUGAGCGUUGUUUAUAAUUGUUAGGUGUAAAAAAUCCUAAGAGAUUUGUAUUUACUAAACUUUUAUAUAGUAACCACAAAUUAAAAUAACAAUAUCUUUUUAGAAAUAGCUGCAUAUCCUAUAGAGAGGUAAAAUUCUAUUAUUACGGGGUAUUUUUUCAAUUAUGAAAAUAAGUUGUUUUAUUUAGAUUGAUUCUAAGGAUGAAAGUAUAGGUAACGGCGAGGAUUAGAGACCCUUUUAGGCUAUACUGUAAAUUAUGGUAGAUUGCAUAGUGCAUAGCUAACGUAAAAUCUACCUACCGGGGGACUACAAUCGCAAGAUUCAAACUUAAAAAAAUUGGCGGGACUUUUCAUACGGUGGAACAUGUGAUUUAAUGCGGUAAUCCUCGCAAAAACUCACUAAUAUAUAUAAUUAUUUAAGUACCUUAAAACGUAUUUUAAUUUAAUUAUGUAGGUAUUGCAUGGCUGUCGUCAGCUCGUGUUUUAAAAUGUAGCGUUUAGUCGUCGUAAACGAGCGUAAUCCUAAUUUUUUAUUUUAUAAAAAACUAUGGUUGAAGUCAAGUCUGUAUGGUCUAUUUAUAUUAGGCUACACACGUGUUACAUAGGGGGAAACAAUAAUAUAAAAAAUAGUAAUAUUUUUUUGUAUAAAAACUCUCUAAUUCGGAUUAAAGAUUUAAAUUCAUCUUUAUGAAGACGAAAUCGUCAGUAAUUGUAUUUUAGAAUGAUACAGUGAAGAUAAAUAAAAGUUUGCACACACCGCCCAUCACGCUCGGAGAAUCAAAGGAGCUUAAGCUGUUUCAGUUUGCAUAUAUUUAUAAUAUAUGCGUAUUUGAUUCAGAAUACUCUUCUUUGGUAAUUUGAGUGAAG